This 420-nucleotide ribosomal RNA is filed under the name Bacillus sp. MU02-18. RNAcentral describes it as "bacterial SSU rRNA". It matches the Rfam family "Bacterial small subunit ribosomal RNA", at positions 39 to 426 of the family's 1533-position model. Lineage: Bacteria; Bacillati; Bacillota; Bacilli; Caryophanales; Bacillaceae. The record is from RNAcentral.
CCUAAGCCGUACUUUACAUGCAAGUCGAGCGGAUGGAUUGAGAGCUUUGCUCUUAUGUAAGUUAGCGCGCGGCACGGUGUGAGUCACACUGUGGUGUCACGUGCCCUAUAAACACGUGGGUAUCUCUCCGGGAGAAAACCGGGGCGUCUUAUACCGAUAUUACAUUUUAACACCGCUGUGUUCUCUUAUUUGAAGGGGGGCUUCGGCUGUCCCUUAUGGUUGGCCCCGCGUCGCAUUAGCUAGUUGGUGAGGUAACGGCUCCCCAAGGCAACAAUGCGUACCCAACCUGAGAGGGUGAUCGGCCACACUGGGACUGAACACGGCCCAAACUCCUACGGGAGGCAGCAGUAGGGAAUCUUCCGCAAUGGACAAAAGUCUGACGGACCACCCCCGCGUGAGUGAUGAAGGUUUUCGGGUCGU